RNAcentral lists this ribosomal RNA (459 nucleotides) under Triticum aestivum (bread wheat). RNAcentral describes it as "partial small subunit ribosomal RNA". The record is from RNAcentral. Lineage: Eukaryota; Viridiplantae; Streptophyta; Magnoliopsida; Poales; Poaceae.
AUGAAAAAAAGAUUUUGGCCUGGAAACCCCUGUUGCUCCUUCUAUAAUCAAUUGGAAACACCCUCGCACUUGCUUUUCUUGUGUCCUGUGUCUACAGUGGUUUGGAGAACUGUAGGAGCUCUCCUUGGGACUGAUUGUUGUCCUAAUUCCAUCUGGCAGUAUUAUACUUGGAUUUAUAGUUUCUUACCUGGCUUUGAAAAAAUUUAUACUGUGGGCUUGGCAGCUAUAUGCUGGGCCAUAUGGCUGGCCCGGAAGAGAGCUACUUUAGAAUGCAAAUGGAUUAACUCUCCAUUUGAGAUCGUGUUCACGGCUUGUGCUUUUCUGAUGUACUGGGCAGGCCUCCAGAAACCUGAGUUGGAAGAGAUAGUGAAGAAGGGCGCGGAGAUGCUGAAGGAGAAUACAACUCAGAUGAUGUUGUUGUGUGGACCUCCAGCUCCAAACAUGGACGGGCGCGACUGA